AGUUGUUGAACAGCAGAAGAUGCUCCAACCUAAAUACUGAGAGUCUUAAAAGCCAGGCGGAAGGCUGGAGGGUGCUGGGGAAGUUCAGGCUGUCCCCAGAAGGUGACUGUGAGGAUAAAACAAAUUAGGAAGGAGGAGGACAGAACCCUCGUUCUGCUCCCUGACAGUCAACUUAUACGACCUUCAUGCUGGACUACACAUGUCAUCUCCCGGAGCAGCAGGCGGUGGCUGGGACGGCAGCACAGAGAAAGCCCGGCACAGGCUCCGCUCAGAGCCUCAGGAUGUGGGGAGGCUUCUACAGAUGACCAGCUUGGUGGCGUCAUCAUCCCCACCUGGAGGUGUUUCUGGGCUGGAACAGAGACACACCCCAAGACAUGCCAAGUUCCUGUCUAAGGAACAAUCUCCAGUUCCUUGGCAGAUUGCUAAUAAAUAUUUCCAGUAGGAAGGAGACCUUAUCUGGAACCAAGAGGCAUGUCUGUAAGAAACUCUUAUGAAGUUGUCGGGGUUCAAGUUGGCCUUCCUGUUGUUCAACCUGGUGGAGAAUGUUCCUGUGGGCCUUGGCAGCAAGUCAGCAUUCUUCGUUGGCAUGGAGUCCUAGGAAAAAGAGGUACGGGGCACCUUGAACACACCGGGCAAGCAAAGAAGAAUGCACGCGUCUCCUCUCUCCAGGAAGGGCUCCUUUCAGAGACACGCUUUGUAGCUCAGCUGUUUGGGGGCCGUGGCAGGCACCUGGGCCCUGGUCACACAGUGGCUGUGGAGCCUGUCCCUGUCCCUUGGGAGCAGCCUGUGCCUCCAGCUCUUCAGCCUUCCGCUGCUCCCACUUGCUGGCUGUGGCUGUGGCUGGGUGGCAUUUGUUUUUGUCCCAGGGCUGCUGCUGCCAGCCAGCAGGUCUCUGAUGUCACCAGCCGCAGGUCUAGGGGUCACCCUAAAAACAUGCGCCUCACUGACCCCCUUACAGCUCCUCUCCUGAGAAGGUUUCUGGGUGCAUUUAUCCAUAUGGGGAGCCUCCCCGGCAGGCCACAGGGGAGCAAGGAGAGAUUCCUUCCUGGUUACCCACCCAACCAUGCUUCAUGCUCCAGACCAAGUAGGUUUUCUGGGUCCUAGUAAAGUCUUCCAAUUCCCCCAAGCUGUGAAAGCCCAGAGGCGGCUGUCAUCUUCUGUGCUGUGGCUGUUUCCAAAGCCAGGGCCGCUGUGGGACGCUCUCCCCUGGUUUGCUUUUCAUCGGAAGCGGCUGCAGCUCUUCUGGGCUUUACCGCCGCCGGGGCCCUCCUAUUUUCUUCACCAUAUUGAAAAGGCAUUUCCUAAAUUCAUAAUGUUUUAGACACAUUGUGGUCUCGGGAUUGAAUUGUGAAGUCUGCAUGGACGGGGGUCUGGCCUGCCCUUCAACUCUGCCCCCAUUUCCUUAAGGAAUUGGUGAAUGCAGAUACUCUACUUUUAUAUUUUGACAGCUGCCUGUGUUUUCUCAUUUGAUUCUCAUAACCCUGGGAAGUAAGUAAGGCCAGAAUUUUUAUUCCCAUUUCUCAGAUAAGGAAAUGGAGGUUAGAGAAACAUGAAUGAGGCACAUUUGCCAUGCAACUUAGCACCUGGAACCUGACCUCAGGAUUCUGAGUUCUAGCACAGCCUUUCUCCACUCUCCAGGCUCUCCACCCUGAAGCCAGUCGCAUAUCACCCCAAUAAACAGUUACAACGCCUCUG
Molecule: long non-coding RNA, 1695 nt
Organism: Homo sapiens (human)
Lineage: Eukaryota; Metazoa; Chordata; Mammalia; Primates; Hominidae
Product: long intergenic non-protein coding RNA 2667
Source: Ensembl